This 501-nucleotide ribosomal RNA is filed under the name uncultured marine bacterium. RNAcentral describes it as "bacterial SSU rRNA". It matches the Rfam family "Bacterial small subunit ribosomal RNA", at positions 58 to 526 of the family's 1533-position model. The record is from RNAcentral.
CAAGUCGAGCGCGGGAAGCGAGCGGAUCCCUUCGGGGUGAAGCUCGUGGAACGAGCGGCGGACGGGUGAGUAACACGUGGGCAACCUGCCUGUAAGACCGGAAUAAUCCCGGGAAACCGGGGCUAAUGCCGGGUAAUACUUUUCUUCGCAUGAAGGAAAGUUGAAAGAUGGCUUCUCGCUAUCACUUACAGAUGGGCCCGCGGCGCAUUAGCUAGUUGGUGAGGUAACGGCUCACCAAGGCGACGAUGCGUAGCCGACCUGAGAGGGUGAUCGGCCACACUGGAACUGAGACACGGCCCAGACUCCUACGGGAGGCAGCAGUAGGGAAUCUUCCGCAAUGGACGAAAGUCUGACGGAGCAACGCCGCGUGAACGAUGAAGGUCUUCGGAUCGUAAAGUUCUGUUGUUAGGGAAGAACAAGUACCGUGCGAAUAGAGCGGUACCUUGACGGUACCUAACGAGGAAGCCCCGGCUAACUACGUGCCAGCAGCCGCGGUAAUAC